GUAGGUGGCAAGCGUUCGUCCGGAAUUAUUGGGCGUAAAGCGCGCGCAGGCGGUUCUUUAAGUCUGAUGUGAAAGCCCACGGCUCAACCGUGGAGGGUCAUUGGAAACUGGAGAACUUGAGUACAGAAGAGGAAAGCGGAAUUCCACGUGUAGCGGUGAAAUGCGUAGAGAUGUGGAGGAACACCAGUGGCGAAGGCGGCUUUUCUGGUCUGUAACUGACGCUGAGGCGCGAAAGCGUGGGGAGCAAACAGGGAUUAGAUACCCUGGUAGUCCACGCCGUAAACGAUGAGUGCUAAGUGUAGGGGGUUUCCGCCCCCUUAGUGCUGCAGCUAAACGCAUUAAGCACUCCGCCUGGGGAGUACGGCCGCAAGGCUG
This 375-nucleotide ribosomal RNA is filed under the name uncultured organism. Its description in RNAcentral is "partial 16S ribosomal RNA". It matches the Rfam family "Bacterial small subunit ribosomal RNA", at positions 527 to 896 of the family's 1533-position model. The record is from RNAcentral.